GUCCACGCCCUAAACGAUGCGAACUGGACGUUGGGAGCAAUUAGGCUCUCAGUGUCGAAGCUAACGCGUUAAGUUCGCCGCCUGGGGAGUACGGUCGCAAGACUGAAACUCAAAGGAAUUGACGGGGCCGCACAAGCGGUGGAGUAUGUGGUUUAAUUCGAUGCAACGUGAAGAACCUUACCUGGCCUUGACAUCCACCGGAAGUCUGCAGAGAUGCGGAUGUGCCUUCGGGAACCGGUGAGACAGGUGCUGCAUGGCUGUCGU
RNAcentral lists this ribosomal RNA (264 nucleotides) under uncultured bacterium. RNAcentral describes it as "partial 16S ribosomal RNA". It matches the Rfam family "Bacterial small subunit ribosomal RNA", at positions 793 to 1055 of the family's 1533-position model. The record is from RNAcentral.